This 2303-nucleotide long non-coding RNA is filed under the name Paramuricea clavata. Lineage: Eukaryota; Metazoa; Cnidaria; Anthozoa; Malacalcyonacea; Plexauridae. The record is from RNAcentral.
GGCUAUAUUAUCCGCAUUUUACAACUUUUUUCAACGAAACUUCGGAAUAUUACUUAUUCUGCAAUGCUCUUCCAAGCUGUGAUGAAAUUUUUGUCCAGGCUAAUCUAGAUCAAAAUUUCAGUGAAAAGGGGAAAGGUCUGUUAAGAUCUAAGCCUGACCCCGAGCUAAGCGGAAAAGUAGAAUACGAGUGCGAAAGCUUAACACACUAAAAUGCGGUACCCUACAAGUGCAAAUAAAACUGCCGGCGUUUAUGGCCCACAAGUAUUAAAAGUUAUAUUUUGUAGUACGCUACAUUCUUCUGUUGGCCGCCAGUUUAAAACGUCCAAACUAAAAUAUUUAUGGGCUUUUGGGAUCAAAAUAUUAUCAAAAUGAAGAGAGAAGUGAGACGAAUCCACUGGUAUACGGCCGAAAAAGAGAAAACCAACGAUACCAAACAAAGUUAUCAAGGAUCAAACAUAUUGCAUUUUAUAUAGUUUGAGCGAUUUAUCAACAAAUAAUACAAUUUCGCUUGGCUUUCAAAGACAAAGGCCAUAAAUCGCUAGAAUACUGUUGUCAGUUGUUUAGUAAUACAUUUGACACCCGUAGGUACAAUUUCUCAUUCGUGUAUAAGUACCAUUUCUUACGUUGAAUCGAACGGUGGUAUUUUUAUCCACCAUUACUUAUUUAUUAGGCAUUACAAAUACAAGGUCAAAUACAAGGUCGGACAAACGGCGAGUAAUUUGUCAACAAUAAAAAUUUCGCUUGAUUUUCAAAGUCCAUAUUCCAUAAAUCGUUAGACUACUGUUGUUUAGUGAUAUAUUUGGCAUCCGUAAGUACAAUUUCUUACGCUGAAUCGAACGGUGGUAUUUUUAUCCUUAUUGGCUAUUGCGCCAUUACUGUAAUAGGGAUUUAUACAAAUACAAUAUCAUAUUGGGCUAUUCCAUUUAAUAUCCGUACCCCCCCUGUCGAGGAUCCCUGGAAUUCUUCAGGGGUAAAGGGUUUUGAGCUUGGAAUUCUUCAGGGCUAAAGUGUUUUGAGCUUGGAAUUCUUCAGGGGUAAAGUGUUUUGAGUUUGGAAUUCUUCAGGGGUAAAUGGUUUUGAGCUUGGAAUUCUUUAGGGGUAAAGGGUUUUGAGCUUGGAAUUCUUCAGGGGUAAAGAGGUUUGAGAUUGAAAUUUUUCAGAGCUUGGAAUUCUUCAGGGGUGAAGGGUUUUGAGCUUGGAAUUCUUCAGGGGUAAAAGGUUUUGAGCUUGAAAUUCUUCAGGGGUAAAGGGUUUUGAGCCUGGAAUUCUUUAGGGGUGAAGGGUUUUGAGCUUGGAAUUCUUCAGGGGUAAAAGGUUUUGAGCUUGGAAUUCCUCAGGGGUAAAGGGUUUUGAGCUUGGAAUUUUGGAAUUCUUCAGGGGUAAAAGGUUUUGAGCUUGGAAUUCUUCAGGGGUAAAGAGUUUUGAGCUUGGAAUUUUGGAAUUCUUCAGGGGUAAACAGUUUUGAGCUUGGAAUUCUUCAGGGGUAUGACAAUGAAAAACAUGUAUCCUCGACAGGGGGGGUACGGAUAUUAAAUGGAAUAGCCCAUUUCACACUGAGUACACUGCAGUUUACACAGGCGGUUGUUCCAUAAAAUUCGUAUCGAUAUGACACCAAUAUGCUUCUCAGAAAGUAGUUAUUUAUUAAAACUACGUUGUGCAGUUUAAGUUAUAACCUUUUACCUUGAAAUUGUCUUUGGCUCGUUUAUAUUCAGGUUCAGUAUAUUUAUGAUCGGGCUCGGGAAUUCCACGAUACAAAUUUCGGAUUUUCAGAGCCGUGCACCAAGAAAAACGCAUUAAAUAAACUACCAAGAAUGUCCAGAGUUAGACACUAUCCAAAAUCCAUAGAAAACAGGUACAACUGGUUCAAAAUUUUCACAAAAUUGUUUAAAACAUUUUGUCCACUCCGCGAAAGUGCCCGCCAUUUAGAAAAGUAUCAAGCAGCUCAUUAAUAUUCUAUUUUGUGGCUAUCGACGAUUGGAGAUUGGAGAUUGCCGAUCCAUGAUGCCGAAACCUAUACUCGCCCGGGGCACAGGUGCCCCAGCUAGUAAAUAUGGAGAUUUCUGGACAUUUUAUCCCCGAGCCGACGGCGCGAAGCGCCGUGCGAGGGUACUAAUUCCCCCCGGCUAUUUACACCCGGGAAAACGGAAGCAUUAGCGAAGUCUAAAGUUCAUCAAAUAUCGCGGGCGUGGGUCACCAACCGUGGGUGGCCAUCCUCACUGAUCUCAAAGAUAUGACGGACUGUCAUGAAUAGCGAACAGUGUGAUUGGUCCAAUUUAAAGUUUGCAUUAUAACGACUGCAUGAC